This 118-nucleotide ribosomal RNA is filed under the name Olea europaea subsp. europaea. RNAcentral's name for it is "LSU_rRNA_bacteria". Lineage: Eukaryota; Viridiplantae; Streptophyta; Magnoliopsida; Lamiales; Oleaceae. The record is from RNAcentral.
AUGUUAUUUUGUCCUAUGACAAGCAAAAAUUUAAUAAUGGCUUGGUUGUCCCAAGGGUUCGGUUGUUUUCCUAUUCAAGUGGUACAUGAGUUGAGUUUAGAACAUCGUGAGACAGUUC